This 497-nucleotide ribosomal RNA is filed under the name uncultured bacterium. RNAcentral describes it as "partial 16S ribosomal RNA". It matches the Rfam family "Bacterial small subunit ribosomal RNA", at positions 28 to 507 of the family's 1533-position model. The record is from RNAcentral.
GAUGAACGCUGGCGGCGUGCCUAAUACAUGCAAGUCGAGCGAACAGACGAGGAGCUUGCUCCUCUGACGUUAGCGGCGGACGGGUGAGUAACACGUGGAUAACCUACCUAUAAUACUGGGAUAACUUCGGGAAACCGGAGCUAAUACCGGAUAAUAUAUUGAACCGCAUGGUUCAAUAGUGAAAGACGGUUUUGCUGUCACUUAUAGAUGGAUCCGCGCCGCAUUAGCUAGUUGGUAAGGUAACGGCUUACCAAGGCAACGAUGCGUAGCCGACCUGAGAGGGUGGUCGGCCACACUGGAACUGAGACACGGUCCAGACUCCUACGGGAGGCAGCAGUAGGGAAUCUUCCGCAAUGGGCGAAAGCCUGACGGAGCAACGCCGCGUGAGUGAUGAAGGUCUUCGGAUCGUAAAACUCUGUUAUUAGGGAAGAACAAAUGUGUAAGUAACUAUGCACGUCUUGACGGUACCUAAUCAGAAAGCCACGGCUAACUACGUG